RNAcentral lists this ribosomal RNA (675 nucleotides) under uncultured bacterium. RNAcentral's name for it is "bacterial SSU rRNA". It matches the Rfam family "Bacterial small subunit ribosomal RNA", at positions 553 to 1230 of the family's 1533-position model. The record is from RNAcentral.
AUUGGGUUAAGGGUGCGCAGGCGGGGGAUUAGGUCGGCGGUGAAAUAUCACGGGCUCAACCUUGAGAGUGCCGUCGAAACCGGUUUUCUUGAGUGCGGAUGAAGUAGGCGGAAUUUGUGGUGUAGCGGUGAAAUGCGUAGAUAUCACAAAGAACACCGAUUGCGGAGGCAGCUUACUAAACCGCAACUGACGCUCAUGCACGAAGGCGUGGGGAUCAAACAGGAUUAGAUACCCUGGUAGUCCACGCAGUAAACGAUGAUUACUAGCUGUUUGCGAUACAAUGUAAGCGGCUGAGCGAAAGCGUUAAGUAAUCCACCUGGGGAGUACGUUCGCAAGAAUGAAACUCAAAGGAAUUGACGGGGGCCCGCACAAGCGGAGGAACAUGUGGUUUAAUUCGAUGAUACGCGAGGAACCUUACCCGGGCUUGAAAUGCAUCUGACCGGGCCGGAAACGGUCUUUCCCAGCGAUGGGCAGAUGUGUAGGUGCUGCAUGGUUGUCGUCAGCUCGUGCCGUGAGGUGUCGGCUUAAGUGCCAUAACGAGCGCAACCCUCAUCGUCAGUUACCAUCGGGUAAAGCCGGGGACUCUGACGAGACUGCCAUCGUAAGAUGCGAGGAAGGUGGGGAUGACGUCAAAUCAGCACGGCCCUUAUGUCCGGGGCGACACACGUGUUACAA